CGUGUUCUGUCUCCUGAACAGGAAACUGAAAUCAUCAACAUGGUCCUAGAAAAUAACGCCAUAACAUUACGGCAAAUACAAAGAAAAAUAAUAGAAAACAAUGAGAUAUUUCAAAAUAUUGAUAGGGUAAACUUUUCAACACUGGACCGUGUCUUGCGCAGAAAUAAUCUCAGGAUGAAGCAGGUCUACAAUGUGCCAUUUCAACGCAAUUCAGAAAGAGUCAAAGAAUUGCGAUAUAACUAUGUGCAAAGAGUCCUUGAGCUAGAGGUGGCUGCAGUGGAGCACCAGUUCAUCUUCAUUGAUGAGGUUGGAUUCAACCUCACAAAAAGACGAAAGAGAGGAAGGAAUAUCAUCGGCCAGCGUUUCCAUUGUUCAAGUCCCUGGCCAGCAAGGAGGGAACAUCACAAUGUGUGCAGCGAUUACCCACCACGGCGUCAUCCAUCACCAUGCUAUCCUUGGCCCCUACAACACCGCCCAUCUGAUCACAUUCCUGGACACCCUACACAACACACUCAUUCCACCAGAUCAGGUAGAUGGCCCAGAGCAGCUCAGGUACGUUGUCAUUUGGGACAAGGUAAGUUUCCACAGGGCUGCUCUGGUUCGUAACUGGUUCACUGCCCAGCUACGCUCUUUAGUUGUUUAUCUCCCUCCAUAUUCUCCAUUCCUACAUCCUAUUGAGGCAUUGUUUUUUCUGCCUGGAGAUGGAAAGUGUAUGACCGAAAUCCACAAACGCGUAUACCUCUUCUCCAAGCUAUGAAAGACGCAUGUGAAGAUGUAGCAGCUGAUGCUUUUCAUGGCUGGAAUCGCCAUGCUAGGCCAUAUUUCCCCCGCUGCUUGGCCAGGGAAAACGUCGCUUGUGAUGUGGAUGAGGUGCUGUGGCCAGACCGCAACAGAAUAGAGGAUGCAGCAUAGUUUUCUGUGUACAUUAAAUUCUUCUGUUUUGUAUGUAGACCACUGUAUGUGCAACUUUGUGUUGGUUGGGAAUGGGAUGUACACUGUGUACAUUGUUUUUCUGGGGAAAAUGAAAUAUAUUUGUUACCGUGUAUUUGUGUGUUCUGAGUAUAAAAACAAUAUUCUCAAAUAUUUUACAACACACUUAUGUAAUGUACUGUCUGUAGUGAUGGCAACACUGAACCAAAAAAUGGCCUAAGUCAUUAUGAUGAAUGGAGAAGAAGUGUUUUCCAUUCAUCAUAGUGUUUUACAUUGAGCACAUCAGUGUUCAAUUGGUUCUUAUGUCUAUUCAUAUGAUGGUUUGUGUGUGUCAUUUGAAAACAAAAUACCAUUUUGAUAAGAAAUAACAUUGUUUUGAAUGUAAAGUUUCAUUUUGCUGGAGAAUUGAGGGGUUUUGCCCAUUGUGUGUGUGUUUUUUGAUUUGUGUGUAGAGUUCUGAGAAUAUGAGGCAUGCUUUCAGAAAAUGUGUGUAAACAAUCGAGAAAAACAUUAAACCAUUUUGGUACAGUGACUCACUACCCAAACCAGACCAACUGGUUUCCAAGUGGCCAAGAGACGUCAUGUGAUCUCUUACUGCCAUCUAGGGGACAAACUGGCUAUCAGACAGGGGAUAUAUACAUUUAAAUCAAUGGAUAGACUUCAGCUUGGCAAGUUGAAAAACAGCUGCGCUUUUACAAUGGCUGUGUUCAAAUGGGUAUUUGUAAAUGUGUAGAGGGCCACCAUUAGGUAAAAUAUCUAAUAAAAAAAAGUGUUAUCUUUUAGACCAGUAAUUGGUGACGUAUUUUAUUUGAAAUUUAGACAUUUUAAGUCUCUUAUUCACUAACAUGGGGACAAUUGGGGGA
Molecule: non-coding RNA, 1793 nt
Organism: Salmo salar (Atlantic salmon)
Lineage: Eukaryota; Metazoa; Chordata; Actinopteri; Salmoniformes; Salmonidae
Source: RefSeq, a predicted model, not a curated record